Molecule: transfer RNA, 65 nt
Filed under: Selenophorus alternans
Lineage: Eukaryota; Metazoa; Arthropoda; Insecta; Coleoptera; Carabidae
Also listed under: 1 other name
Description: tRNA-Pro
Rfam family: tRNA
About the family: Transfer RNA (tRNA) molecules are approximately 80 nucleotides in length. Their secondary structure includes four short double-helical elements and three loops (D, anti-codon, and T loops). Further hydrogen bonds mediate the characteristic L-shaped molecular structure. tRNAs have two regions of fundamental functional importance: the anti-codon, which is responsible for specific mRNA codon recognition, and the 3' end, to which the tRNAs corresponding amino acid is attached (by aminoacyl-tRNA synthetases). tRNAs cope with the degeneracy of the genetic code in two manners: having more than one tRNA (with a specific anti-codon) for a particular amino acid; and 'wobble' base-pairing, i.e. permitting non-standard base-pairing at the 3rd anti-codon position.
Source: RNAcentral
CAGAGGAUAGUUUAAGUAAAAUACUAGUUUUGGAGAUUAGUGAUAAAAGUUAAUUUUUCCUCUGA